AAAUGUAUCACAAUACCCCAUAAUGACAAAGCAAAAACAGGUUUAGAUUUUUUGCAAAUGUAUUCAAACUAUUCCCCAGGAUAACUAGUCUCAGAGUAAUGUAAGAUGCUUGGAAAAAGAAGUUGAAAAGAAUAUCAGAACGGCACCAUUAGAACUAAAAUGUGUCGCCUGGAUGUCAGACCCCCAACCCUCCAAACUGUAAAUAAAUAACAAAAUGUGUAUUCUGGAUUUCAGACCCCCAACCCUCCAAACUGUAAAUAAAUAAUAAAAUGUCUCCUGGAUGUCAGACCCCCAACCCUCCAAACUGUAAAUAAAUAAUAAAAUGUGUCGCCUGGAUGUCAGACCGCCAACCCUCCAAACUGUAAAUAAAUAAUAAAAUGUGUCUCCUUGGCAACAUUAGAACCUCAGCACGUUUACUGUAUAUGUCGAGACAAAGGAAUGAUGUAAACAAAUAAUCCAAAAUAUUUUUGUCAAUGAGACAGUAUAUAAACAAAGGAAUGACCGAACCCCCUUUGGUGACUGAAUGCUUGUAAGGAAAACUAGAUGAUCAAAACAUUAGAUCACAUCAAAUAAGCCUGAGUGGUUUCACCUCCUCCCAGACUGGAUACUACAGUUAUAACUAUACAUAGUUAUACAGGAUACUACAGUUAUAACUAUACAUAGUUAUACAGGAUACUACAGUUAUACAUGAUACUAUAG
Salvelinus sp. IW2-2015 is the source of this 699-nucleotide non-coding RNA. The record is from RefSeq and is a predicted model, not a curated record. NCBI's taxonomy places the organism in Eukaryota, Metazoa, Chordata, Actinopteri, Salmoniformes, Salmonidae.